UACGGGAGGCAGCAGUGGGGAAUAUUGCACAAUGGGCGCAAGCCUGAUGCAGCCAUGCCGCGUGUAUGAAGAAGGCCUUCGGGUUGUAAAGUACUUUCAGUCGUGAGGAAGGUGUUAAGGUUAAUAACCUUAGCAAUUGACGUUAGCGACAGAAGAAGCACCGGCUAACUCCGUGCCAGCAGCCGCGGUAAUACGGAGGGUGCGAGCGUUAAUCGGAAUUACUGGGCGUAAAGGGCACGCAGGCGGUUAAUUAAAUUGGAUGUGAAAUCCCCGGGCUUAACCUGGGAAUGGCAUUCAAGACUGGUUAGCUAGAGUCUUGUAGAGGGGGUAGAAUUCCAUGUGUAGCGGUGAAAUGCGUAGAGAUGUGGAGGAAUACCGGUGGCGAAGGCGGCCCCUGGACAAAGACUGACGCUCAUGUGCGAAAGCGUGGGGAGCAAACAGGGAUUAGAUACC
This 453-nucleotide ribosomal RNA is filed under the name uncultured bacterium. Its description in RNAcentral is "bacterial SSU rRNA". It matches the Rfam family "Bacterial small subunit ribosomal RNA", at positions 340 to 786 of the family's 1533-position model. The record is from RNAcentral.